This is a non-coding RNA of Xylariales sp. PMI_506, 113 nucleotides long. NCBI's taxonomy places the organism in Eukaryota, Fungi, Ascomycota, Sordariomycetes, Xylariales. The record is from the annotation of a GenBank genome assembly.
GGCAAGAUGGCCGAGCGGUCUAAGGCGCUGCACUCAAGCUUCGAAGCUUGCCCAUUCAAAACGGGUGAAUUGCAGUCUCGCAAGAGGCGGGGGUUCGAAUCCCCCUCUUGUCA